GACGAACGCUGGCGGCGUGCUUAACACAUGCAAGUCGAACGGUGAAGCGCUUUCCUUUUUGGUUGGUGUGGAUGAGUGGCGAACGGGUGAGUAACACGUGAGUAACCUGCCCCCUUCUUCUGGAUAACCGCAUGAAAGUGUGGCUAAUACGGGAUAUUCUGCGCCUGCUGCAUGGUGGGUGUGGGAAAGAUUGUGCCUUUGGGUGUUUUCGGUGGGGGAUGGGCUCGCGGCCUAUCAGCUUGUUGGUGGGGUGAUGGCCUACCAAGGCGGUGACGGGUAGACGGCCUGAGAGGGUGGACGGUCACACUGGGACUGAGACACGGCCCAGACUCCUACGGGAGGCAGCAGUGGGGAAUAUUGCACAAUGGGCGCAAGCCUGAUGCAGCGACGCCGCGUGAGGGAGGGAGGCCUUCGGGUUGUGAACCUCUUUCGCCAGUGAAGCAGGCCUGCUCCUUGUGGGUGGGUUGACGGUAGCUGGAUAAGAAGCGCCGGCUAACUACGUG
This 503-nucleotide ribosomal RNA is filed under the name uncultured bacterium. RNAcentral's name for it is "partial 16S ribosomal RNA". It matches the Rfam family "Bacterial small subunit ribosomal RNA", at positions 28 to 507 of the family's 1533-position model. The record is from RNAcentral.